UCUCUGCCCCCUCAUUCGUUCUCUCUCUCUCUCUCUCUCUGCCCUCAUUCCAACGGCCGGCGGCGACCGGCAGCGGCGGCGCACCGGAGGAGGCCGAAUCCUCUCUCUCUCUCCGUUUUUUCACCGUCGCCCCCCUCCCCAUCUCUCUCCUCGAGCCUGCGGCGGCGGCGCACAGGGAGUUGCCGGCGGUGGCGAUGGCGACCGGAUCCCAGCAUCUGGAUCCAUGGAGGCGGGUUCCUCCGUCUUCCCCACGCGCCACUGUGGAGAUAGCAGGUCGAGGUGAGCCCUAUUCUCUCCGGACAACACUGUGGUGACUAGCCUCCCUCCAUAGAAGGACGGGGAAGGUCGAGAUCUGCCCGGAGUGCUCAUCCUUGCCGGAUGCCCGGAUCUGAGCUCCUCCUCAAAGAAUCCGUUACAACAGCCGCUGGAUCCAUGCCCUUCGCUGAUGAUGCGCUUCACCACUGGCUCGGCUCCCCCAACAUGCUGCCUGGGCUUCUCAUGGCUUCCCCUAUCAGCACGGCGUCGCAAUGGCAAGGAGAUGGUGGUGCCGGCAUCUAUCUGUCGGCAACACAUGCUCCAUGCAUCUAUUUUGGAACUUACUCGACUUCUACGAUGUACUACUUGAUUACACCAGCACCAUGAGGAGCAAUGCUGAUUCCCUUUUUCUCUGAGAUAAUCUUCUCAAACCUCACGGAUCUUGUGUUCUUUUGUGACUUGUGUUUUCAUUUCUCUUUGUUCAUGAUUUCAUUUUUUCUUUUUUCCUUCAACUGUGAGUGGACAUGAAUUGCAUGGAAAUAUUGUGUCAAUGAUGAAAUGCUACAAUUUUGAGUUCAGAUCGGAAGAUCUGUUGACGUGGACAUUCUCCAUUUUUAAAAAACAUUUGCAAGAAAUUUGUGAAUUCUAGUCUGCA
Setaria italica (foxtail millet) is the source of this 910-nucleotide long non-coding RNA. RefSeq lists it as uncharacterized. NCBI's taxonomy places the organism in Eukaryota, Viridiplantae, Streptophyta, Magnoliopsida, Poales, Poaceae. The transcript is spliced from 2 exons. The record is from RefSeq and is a predicted model, not a curated record.